AGUGAACGCUGGCGGUAGGCCUAACACAUGCAAGUCGAACGGCAGCACAGUAAGAGCUUGCUCUUACGGGUGGCGAGUGGCGGACGGGUGAGGAAUACAUCGGAAUCUACUUUUUCGUGGGGGAUAACGUAGGGAAACUUACGCUAAUACCGCAUACGACCUAGGGGUGAAAGCAGGGGAUUUUCGGACCUUGCGCGAUUGAAUGAGCCGAUGUCGGAUUAGCUAGUUGGCGGGUUAAAGGCCCACCAAGGCGACGAUCCGUAGCUGGUCUGAGAGGAUGAUCAGCGACACUGGAACUGAGACACGGUCCAGACUCCUACGGGAGGCAGCAGUGGGGAAUAUUGGACAAUGGGCGCAAGCCUGAUCCAGCCAUACCGCGUGGGUGAAGAAGGCCUUCGGGUUGUAAAGCCCUUUUGUUGGGAAAGAAAAGCAGCAGGUUAAUACCCCGCUGUUCUGACGGUACCCAAAGAAUAAGCACCGGCUAACUUCGUG
Molecule: ribosomal RNA, 492 nt
Filed under: uncultured bacterium
Lineage: Bacteria
Description: partial 16S ribosomal RNA
Rfam family: Bacterial small subunit ribosomal RNA
Source: RNAcentral